UGGGGAAUUUUGGACAAUGGGCGCAAGCCUGAUCCAGCCAUGCCGCGUGAGUGAAGAAGGCCUUCGGGUUGUAAAGCUCUUUCGCAAGGAAAGAAAACUUACCUACUAAUACUGGCUGAGGAUGACGGUACCUUGAUAAGAAGCACCGGCUAACUACGUGCCAGCAGCCGCGGUAAUACGUAGGGUGCGAGCGUUAAUCGGAAUUACUGGGCGUAAAGCGUGCGCAGGCGGUUCGAUAAGUCUGAUGUGAAAUCCCCGGGCUCAACCUGGGAACUGCGUUGGAAACUGUCGAGCUAGAGUGUAGAAGAGGGGGGUAGAAUUCCACGUGUAGCAGUGAAAUGCGUAGAGAUGUGGAGGAAUACCGAUGGCGAAGGCAGCCCCCUGGGCUAACACUGACGCUCAUGCACGAAAGCGUGGGGAGCAAACAGGAUUAGAUACCCUGGUAGUCCACGCCCUAAACGAUGUCUACUAGUUGUUGGUGGAGUAAAAUCCAUUAGUAACGCAGCUAACGCGUGAAGUAGACCGCCUGGGGAGUACGGUCGCAAGAUUA
This 550-nucleotide ribosomal RNA is filed under the name uncultured Pseudomonadota bacterium. RNAcentral's name for it is "bacterial SSU rRNA". It matches the Rfam family "Bacterial small subunit ribosomal RNA", at positions 355 to 896 of the family's 1533-position model. Lineage: Bacteria; Pseudomonadati; Pseudomonadota. The record is from RNAcentral.